RNAcentral lists this ribosomal RNA (253 nucleotides) under uncultured bacterium. RNAcentral's name for it is "partial 16S ribosomal RNA". It matches the Rfam family "Bacterial small subunit ribosomal RNA", at positions 524 to 776 of the family's 1533-position model. The record is from RNAcentral.
UACGUAGGGUGCAAGCGUUGUCCGGAAUUAUUGGGCGUAAAGAGCUUGUAGGCGGUUUGUCGCGUCUGCUGUGAAAUUUCGGGGCUCAACCCCGAACUUGCAGUGGGUACGGGCAGACUAGAGUGUGGUAGGGGAGACUGGAAUUCCUGGUGUAGCGGUGGAAUGCGCAGAUAUCAGGAGGAACACCGGUGGCGAAGGCGGGUCUCUGGGCCGAUACUGACGCUGAGGAGCGAAAGCGUGGGGAGCAAACAGG